AAACGACUAUCGGCAACGGAUAUCUCGGCUCUCGCAUCGAUGAAGAACGCAGCGAAAUGCGAUACUUGGUGUGAAUUGCAGGAUCCCGCGAACCAUCGAGUCUUUGAACGCAAGUUGCGCCCGAAGCCUUUUGGCCGAGGGCACGUCUGCCUGGGUGUCACUC
RNAcentral lists this ribosomal RNA (163 nucleotides) under Euphorbia esula (leafy spurge). RNAcentral describes it as "5.8S ribosomal RNA". It matches the Rfam family "5.8S ribosomal RNA". From Rfam's summary of the family: 5.8S ribosomal RNA (5.8S rRNA) is a component of the large subunit of the eukaryotic ribosome. It is transcribed by RNA polymerase I as part of the 45S precursor that also contains 18S and 28S rRNA. Lineage: Eukaryota; Viridiplantae; Streptophyta; Magnoliopsida; Malpighiales; Euphorbiaceae. The record is from RNAcentral.